This 68-nucleotide transfer RNA is filed under the name Culex quinquefasciatus (southern house mosquito). RNAcentral's name for it is "tRNA-Thr". Lineage: Eukaryota; Metazoa; Arthropoda; Insecta; Diptera; Culicidae. The record is from RNAcentral.
GUGCGUGGCCGAAUGGUUACGCUGUCCGCUUUGUAAGCGGAUGAUUCUGGGUUCGAUCUGCUGCAACC